UACGUAGGGGGCAAGCGUUGUCCGGAUUUACUGGGCGUAAAGAGCGUGUAGGCGGCCAAACAGGUCCGUUGUGAAAACUGGAGGCUCAACCUCCAGACGUCGACGGAAACCGUAUGGCUAGAGUCCGGAAGAGGAGAAUGGAAUUCCUGGUGUAGCGGUGAAAUGCGCAGAUAUCAGGAAGAACACCCGUGGCUAAGGCGGUUCUCUAGUACGGUACUGACGCUGAGACGCGAAAGCGUGGGGAGCGAACAGG
RNAcentral lists this ribosomal RNA (253 nucleotides) under uncultured bacterium. RNAcentral describes it as "partial 16S ribosomal RNA". It matches the Rfam family "Bacterial small subunit ribosomal RNA", at positions 524 to 776 of the family's 1533-position model. The record is from RNAcentral.